RNAcentral lists this ribosomal RNA (326 nucleotides) under uncultured eukaryote. Its description in RNAcentral is "partial 18S ribosomal RNA". It matches the Rfam family "Eukaryotic small subunit ribosomal RNA", at positions 1470 to 1796 of the family's 1831-position model. The record is from RNAcentral.
CCCUUAGAUGUUCUGGGCUGCACGCGCGCUACACUGAUACUUUCAGCGAGUCCACCACCUUGCCUGGGAAGGUGGGGUAACCUCUGGAAAGUGCAUCGUGAUGGGGAUCGAUUAUUGUAAUUAUUAAUCUUCAACGAGGAAUUCCUAGUAAGCAUGUGUCAUCAGCCCGUGCUGAUUACGUCCCUGCCCUUUGUACACACCGCCCGUCGCUCCUACCGAUUGAGUGUCCCAGUGAAUAAUUCGGACUGCAGCAUAGUUAGGAUCCCUAACCUUGCAGCGGGAAGUCUUGUAAACUUUGACACUUAGAGGAAGGAGAAGCCGUAACA